CGCAAUGUCUCGGUCGUGGUGUGGUCGUGGGUUCGUUAUGCCAGUUAUGCGUCAUUCUAAGCCGUUUUGUACAUUUAUACUGGAUAUUAAUUGGAGUCAUUUAGCUGUGCUGAUGCUGUUUGCCGUGUGUUUUGCAUCAGUGCUUCGUGACAUCGGCUGUAUUGCGUGUUUUCGCCGACGGCUUACUACCACAAUGGCGGGAUCUGCGUUCGCCGCCUUCGUGUCUCGGUGCGUCUUUGUACGUCGCACGUUCGGAUAACACUUUUUCCGACAGCUGGACAUCCUUCUUGUACCUUGGCGCUAGCUGGAUGAUGGGACAUCAUGAUCAGUGUAUUGCUUGCCUAUGUCUACAAGAACCGUCACGCGUGGCCUGUGACAGCAAGCUUUUGUGGGCAGCAAGUGCUCUCCUACGAAGGCUGGCCUACUCUGGCAGCGGCGGCAAUCAUCUUCAAGAUUUAUCCAUAAUCACCUUUGCUGCUUUUUGUCACUCUUGUUGAUUACACUUUCUGCGUCUUUUCUAAUUUAUUAGGUAAUAAAGUAUGAGUAUGUGA
Non-coding RNA from Dermacentor andersoni, 551 nucleotides. The record is from RefSeq and is a predicted model, not a curated record. Lineage: Eukaryota; Metazoa; Arthropoda; Arachnida; Ixodida; Ixodidae.